This 787-nucleotide long non-coding RNA is filed under the name Lytechinus variegatus (green sea urchin). RNAcentral describes it as "uncharacterized LOC121419444". The record is from RNAcentral. Lineage: Eukaryota; Metazoa; Echinodermata; Echinoidea; Temnopleuroida; Toxopneustidae.
UCCUAGCAAUUUUCUUGAUUUUGAGGUCAGAAGGUCAAAGGUGAAGUUGCCAUCUUCCACUUUUCUUGCUUGACCAAUCAGUCAGACCGCAGCUCGCGCGAUAAUGAGCAUAUUCACGAAGAUUUAUUCAGCGGCCCUCUAGCGGUCUCCGAAGGAAAACGUGUGAUCAAUUUGGCUUGAUUUUCCCAGUGAUUUGGAGGGGCUGAAGUUAUAGCUCUGUACUGGUCGCUAACUUCAGUUUACGUCGAAACGAAUUGUGAUCUGCACACUUGCUGACUCUGGUCCCUGCUCGCUACUUCAUUCUGGGAGAUGAUCCAUCAUGUACUGGUCGGACUGAUUUGGACAAAGCCAUUUUUCGUUUGCAAAUUUUGAAGUGAUAAUGAUACAAGUAACAGAAAGUUGAUCUUUAUCGAUAUUGGAAACAAGAAAAUUCGAGCACAGUUUUGGAGAGGACUAAGAAUACUGACUUUGACAGGAAUACAGCUUGACAAAAAUAAGUAUACACAAUUUAAAACCAAAGAACACAAACAGUUUUAAUGUUACUAAUAGUGCAUUGCAAGAAACUUUCUACUCAUUCACACAUUCCAAAAUCAAGGGUAAGUCCUUUGCUUAAACACAAACAUGUAGUUGAUUUGCAAUUGAACAUAAGUUUCUUGCAAUGCCCCAUAAUUAUAUUUUGUUCUCAAGCAACUCUGUUAAUGUUAUCCAAUGUGCUGAAGGUUAAGUGUUUAUGUAUGUUCACAAUUUUUUCUCAAAAGUUAUAAUAUAUUUGUCCUUUUAAACGGUA